UACGAAGGGGGCGAGCGUUGUUCGGAUUUACUGGGCGUAAAGGGCGCGUAGGCGGCCCUCUUUGUCGCGUGUGAAAGCCCCGGGCUCAACCUGGGAAUGGCGCGCGAAACGGGGGGGCUUGAGUUCGGGAGAGGAGCGUGGAAUUCCCAGUGUAGAGGUGAAAUUCGUAGAUAUUGGGAAGAACACCGGUGGCGAAGGCGGCGCUCUGGACCGAGACUGACGCUGAGGCGCGAAAGCGUGGGGAGCAAACAGG
RNAcentral lists this ribosomal RNA (253 nucleotides) under uncultured bacterium. RNAcentral's name for it is "partial 16S ribosomal RNA". It matches the Rfam family "Bacterial small subunit ribosomal RNA", at positions 524 to 776 of the family's 1533-position model. The record is from RNAcentral.